GAUGAACGCUGGCGGCGUGCCUAAUACAUGCAAGUCGAGCGAACAGACGAGGAGCUUACUCCUCUGACGUUAGCGGCGGAUGGGUGAGUAACACGUGGAUAACCUACCUAUAAGACUGGGAUAACUUCGGGAAACCGGAGCUAAUACCGGAUAACAUGUUGAACCGCAUGGUUCAACAGUGAAAGACGGUCUUGCUGUCACUUAUAGAUGGAUCCGCGUCGCAUUAGCUAGUUGGUAAGGUAACGGCUUACCAAGGCAACGAUGCGUAGCCGACCUGAGAGGGUGAUCGGCCACACUGGAACUGAGACACGGUCCAGACUCCUACGGGAGGCAGCAGUAGGGAAUCUUCCGCAAUGGGCGAAAGCCUGACGGAGCAACGCCGCGUGAGUGAAGAAGGUCUUCGGAUCGUAAAACUCUGUUAUUAGGGAAGAACAAAUGUGUAAGUAACUAUGCACGUCUUGACGGUACCUAAUCAGAAAGCCACGGCUAACUACGUG
Molecule: ribosomal RNA, 497 nt
Filed under: uncultured bacterium
Lineage: Bacteria
Description: partial 16S ribosomal RNA
Rfam family: Bacterial small subunit ribosomal RNA
Source: RNAcentral